This 422-nucleotide ribosomal RNA is filed under the name uncultured prokaryote. Its description in RNAcentral is "bacterial SSU rRNA". It matches the Rfam family "Bacterial small subunit ribosomal RNA", at positions 355 to 774 of the family's 1533-position model. The record is from RNAcentral.
UGAGGAAUAUUGGUCAAUGGGCGCGAGCCUGAACCAGCCAUCCCGCGUGCAGGAAGACGGCCCUAUGGGUUGUAAACUGCUUUUGUGCAGGAAGAAUGUGCCCAUCGUGAUGGGUAGUGACGGUACUGCAUGAAUAAGCACCGGCUAACUCCGUGCCAGCAGCCGCGGUAAUACGGAGGGUGCAAGCGUUAUCCGGAUUUAUUGGGUUUAAAGGGUGCGUAGGCGGUAAUAUAAGUCAGUGGUGAAAAGCUGCAGCUCAACUGGAGUCCUGCCAUUGAAACUGUUUUACUUGAGUAACCAGGAGGUAGGCGGAAUGUGUAGUGUAGCGGUGAAAUGCUUAGAUAUUACACAGAACACCGAUUGCGUAGGCAGCUUACUAGAGGUUUACUGACGCUGAUGCACGAAAGCGUGGGGAUCAAACA